RNAcentral lists this ribosomal RNA (328 nucleotides) under uncultured eukaryote. Its description in RNAcentral is "partial 18S ribosomal RNA". It matches the Rfam family "Eukaryotic small subunit ribosomal RNA", at positions 1470 to 1796 of the family's 1831-position model. The record is from RNAcentral.
CCCUUAGAUGUCCGGGGCUGCACGCGCGCUACACUGAAGGAAUCAGCGUGCUAAAACCAUUGUCGAAAGGCAUUGGUAAACCCAUUAAAAUCCUACGUGAUUGGGAUCGGGAAUUGCAAUUAUUUCCCUUGAACGAGGAAUUCCCAGUAAGUGUGGGUCAUAAGCUCGCGUUGAUUACGUCCCUGCCCUUUGUACACACCGCCCGUCGCUGCCCGGGACUGAGCCGUUUCGAGAAAAGCGGGGACUACUGCUGUCGGGGCUUUCGGGCCUUGGCUUCGGUGGAAACCGCUUUAAUCGCAGUGGCUUGAACCGGGCAAAAGUCGUAACA